AGAGUUUGAUCCUGGCUCAGGACGAACGCUGGCGGCGUGCCUAAUACAUGCAAGUAGAACGCUGAAGGAGGAGCUUGCUUCUCUGGAUGAGUUGCGAACGGGUGAGUAACGCGUAGGUAACCUGCCUGGUAGCGGGGGAUAACUAUUGGAAACGAUAGCUAAUACCGCAUAAUAGCAGUUAUUGCAUGAUAACUGUUUGAAAGGUGCAAUUGCACCACUACCAGAUGGACCUGCGUUGUAUUAGCUAGUUGGUGGGGUAACGGCUCACCAAGGCGACGAUACAUAGCCGACCUGAGAGGGUGAUCGGCCACACUGGGACUGAGACACGGCCCAGACUCCUACGGGAGGCAGCAGUAGGGAAUCUUCGGCAAUGGACGGAAGUCUGACCGAGCAACGCCGCGUGAGUGAAGAAGGUUUUCGGAUCGUAAAGCUCUGUUGUAAGAGAAGAACGAGUGUGAGAGUGGAAAGUUCACACUGUGACGGUAUCUUACCAGAAAGGGACGGCUAACUACGUGCCAGCAGCCGCGGU
Molecule: ribosomal RNA, 529 nt
Filed under: Streptococcus sp. oral clone BP1-76
Lineage: Bacteria; Bacillati; Bacillota; Bacilli; Lactobacillales; Streptococcaceae
Description: bacterial SSU rRNA
Rfam family: Bacterial small subunit ribosomal RNA
Source: RNAcentral